GGGACUGUGAGAGGGAGUUUGAAGCGCGGAGAGUGACUGGUUACAGACAAGUGACCAGGCCCGCUGGGGCGCCGCACGCAUGUAG
Molecule: ribosomal RNA, 85 nt
Filed under: Tetraselmis striata
Lineage: Eukaryota; Viridiplantae; Chlorophyta; Chlorodendrophyceae; Chlorodendrales; Chlorodendraceae
Description: partial Archaeal small subunit ribosomal RNA
Source: RNAcentral